AUCCAGCUGACGAGUCCCGAAUGGGGUGAAAUGCGUGUCCUGGAU
RNAcentral lists this non-coding RNA (45 nucleotides) under Schistosoma mattheei. Lineage: Eukaryota; Metazoa; Platyhelminthes; Trematoda; Strigeidida; Schistosomatidae. The record is from RNAcentral.